UAAGUUCCUGUUAUACGCUGUCAUACAGUAUAUGCCUUGAGCUCUUAUUUUGAAGGCGCUAAGAGCGGAAGUGAGGUCACGUUGUUGGAGUGGAGCGAAGGUUUUGAAAAGAAGUUCGCAUGUAUGUCACCUCAUGUCAUCGCUUUGAUUAAAUAAUAUGUGUGUGGAGGGAGGUGUGGCCAGCGCGCCUGCAGGAACAAAGGUCACCGCCUCUGUCUGUGGUGCUGAGGACGAGCACCAUCGGAUGGUGCUGACGGCGAGACACAGCUGACAGUAGGCGGCCGAUAGCAGGAGGGGAGAGAGGAUACGGACGUGACUGAAAAGUCACGUUCUGCUGGAGAAAGACUUUGAC
Nerophis lumbriciformis (worm pipefish) is the source of this 352-nucleotide long non-coding RNA. RefSeq lists it as uncharacterized. NCBI's taxonomy places the organism in Eukaryota, Metazoa, Chordata, Actinopteri, Syngnathiformes, Syngnathidae. The record is from RefSeq and is a predicted model, not a curated record.